GAUGAACGCUGGCGGCGUGCCUAAUACAUGCAAGUCGAGCGAACAGAUGAGGAGCUUGCUCCUCUGACGUUAGCGGCGGACGGGUGAGUAACACGUGGAUAACCUACCUAUAAGACUGGGAUAACUUCGGGAAACCGGAGCUAAUACCGGAUAAUAUAUUGAACCGCAUGGUUCAAUAGUGAAAGACGGUUUUGCUGUCACUUAUAGAUGGAUCCGCGCCGCAUUAGCUAGUUGGUAAGGUAACGGCUUACCAAGGCAACGAUGCGUAGCCGACCUGAGAGGGUGAUCGGCCACACUGGAACUGAGACACGGUCCAGACUCCUACGGGAGGCAGCAGUAGGGAAUCUUCCUCAAUGGGCGAAAGCUUGACGGAGCAACGCCGCGUGAGUGAUGAAGGUCUUCGGAUCGUAAAACUCUGUUAUUAGGGAAGAACAAAUGUGUAAGUAACUAUGCACGUCUUGACGGUACCUAAUCAGAAAGCCACGGCUAACUACGUG
RNAcentral lists this ribosomal RNA (497 nucleotides) under uncultured bacterium. RNAcentral describes it as "partial 16S ribosomal RNA". It matches the Rfam family "Bacterial small subunit ribosomal RNA", at positions 28 to 507 of the family's 1533-position model. The record is from RNAcentral.